UAAAAGAUAAGCUAAAAAAGCUAAUGGGCUCAUAUCUCAUUUAUGAUAAAUUCUCUUUUAA
This 61-nucleotide transfer RNA is filed under the name Metacrangonyx samanensis. RNAcentral describes it as "transfer RNA Methionine". The record is from RNAcentral. Lineage: Eukaryota; Metazoa; Arthropoda; Malacostraca; Amphipoda; Metacrangonyctidae.